UCUACGGGCGGCAGCAGUGAGGAAUAUUGGUCAAUGGACGAGAGUCUGAACCAGCCAAGUAGCGUGAAGGAUGACUGCCCUAUGGGUUGUAAACUUCUUUUAUAAAGGAAUAAAACGAGGCACGUGUGCCUUUUUGCAUGUACUUGAAGAAAAAGCAUCGGCUAACUCCGUGCCAGCAGCCGCGGUAAUACGGAGGAUGCGAGGGUUAUCCGGAUUUAUUGGGUUUAAAGGGUGCGUAGGCGGACGGUUAAGUCAGCGGUAAAAGCCCGGGGCUCAAACCCGGCGAGCCGUUGAAACUGGCUGUCUUGAGAUGUCGAGCGGUAUGCGGAAUGCGCAGUGUAGCGGUGAAAUGCUUAGAUAUUGCGCAGAACUCCGAUUGCGAAGGCAGCAUACCGGCGGCGAUCUGACGCUGAGGCACGAAAGCGUGGGUAUCGAACAGGAUUAGAUACCCCAGUAGUC
Molecule: ribosomal RNA, 459 nt
Filed under: uncultured bacterium
Lineage: Bacteria
Description: partial 16S ribosomal RNA
Rfam family: Bacterial small subunit ribosomal RNA
Source: RNAcentral